RNAcentral lists this unclassified non-coding RNA (348 nucleotides) under soil metagenome. RNAcentral's name for it is "partial contains 5.8S ribosomal RNA, internal transcribed spacer 2, and large subunit ribosomal RNA". The stretch from base 1 to 120 matches the Rfam family "5.8S ribosomal RNA", at positions 35 to 154 of the family's 154-position model. The record is from RNAcentral.
GAUGAAGAACGCAGCGAAAUGCGAUAAGUAAUGUGAAUUGCAGAAUUCAGUGAAUCAUCGAAUCUUUGAACGCACAUUGCGCCCGCCAGUAUUCUGGCGGGCAUGCCUGUCUGAGCGUCAUUUCAACCCUCAUGCCCCUAGGGCGUGGUGUUGGGGAUCGGCCAAAGCCCGCGAGGGACGGCCGGCCCCUAAAUCUAGUGGCGGACCCGUCGUGGCCUCCUCUGCGAAGUAGUGAUAUUCCGCAUCGGAGAGCGAUGAGCCCCUGCCGUUAAACCCCCAACUUUCCAAGGUUGACCUCAGAUCAGGUAGGAAUACCCGCUGAACUUAAGCAUAUCAAAAAGCGGAGGA